GUUCUUUUUAUGCGUCCUUCGGUUUUGCGCAUAUGUCAUUUUUCGUUUAUACACAUUAUGUGUUUGCGUCCGUCAUUUCUUGUUGGUGACCAUCACUUCUCGUUUAAUUGUAUAUAUCAUUAUUGUUCUGUCCAAACUCCGGUUUCAUUUUUUGUUUACCUUACACAUGAGAAUUUUAUUUGGAUUUCAGCUAUUAAUUUUGUAUUUGAUACAGUUAUUUUGUAAUAUUUUUCUGUUAUCUGCCGUUGUGUCGAAUUGAUUAAAAGAGCAUAAUCAGGCAACGCUUCA
RNAcentral lists this long non-coding RNA (288 nucleotides) under Mytilus galloprovincialis (Mediterranean mussel). Lineage: Eukaryota; Metazoa; Mollusca; Bivalvia; Mytilida; Mytilidae. The record is from RNAcentral.